AUUUAUCUAAUAUAAAAAGUAUACUUGACUUCCAAUCAAGAGGUUUGUAAAAGCAAGAUAAAUA
This 64-nucleotide transfer RNA is filed under the name Crepititermes verruculosus. RNAcentral's name for it is "tRNA-Gly". Lineage: Eukaryota; Metazoa; Arthropoda; Insecta; Blattodea; Termitidae. The record is from RNAcentral.